CCUACGGGGGGCAGCAGUAGGGAAUCUUCCACAAUGGACGAAAGUCUGAUGGAGCAACGCCGCGUGAGUGAAGAAGGGUUUCGGCUCGUAAAGCUCUGUUGGUAGUGAAGAAAGAUAGAGGUAGUAACUGGCCUUUAUUUGACGGUAAUUACUUAGAAAGUCACGGCUAACUACGUGCCAGCAGCCGCGGUAAUACGUAGGUGGCAAGCGUUAUCCGGAUUUAUUGGGUUUAAAGGGUGCGUAGGCGGAAUGCCAAGUCAGCGGUAAAAUCGCGGGGCUAAACCUCGCUCCGCCGUUGAAACUGGCGUUCUUGAGUGGGCGAGAAGUAUGCGGAAUGCGUGGUGUAGCGGUGAAAUGCUUAGAUAUCACGAAGAACUCCGAUUGCGAAGGCAGCCUACUAAACUGCCACUGACAUUGAUGCUCGAAAGUGUGGGUAUCAAACAGGAUUAGAUACCCGAGUAGUC
Molecule: ribosomal RNA, 464 nt
Filed under: uncultured bacterium
Lineage: Bacteria
Description: partial 16S ribosomal RNA
Rfam family: Bacterial small subunit ribosomal RNA
Source: RNAcentral